Molecule: small nucleolar RNA, 177 nt
Organism: Larimichthys crocea (large yellow croaker)
Lineage: Eukaryota; Metazoa; Chordata; Actinopteri; Sciaenidae
Gene: SNORD97
Product: small nucleolar RNA, C/D box 97
Source: Ensembl
AUGCCCAGUGAUUAUAAAAAGACGCGUUAUUCUGAGGAGCACAACCAGCUGCCAGUCUUUAUCUACCCUUCACUCUGUCUUUGAUCUCCAUCUUUCCUAUCCCUCCUACACUCCUUCUCUUCUCUUUCUCAAACUGGUAGCUGGUCCGCUGACUGCGAUUAUGAGAUAUGAGGGCAU